Molecule: long non-coding RNA, 13702 nt
Filed under: Gallus gallus (chicken)
Lineage: Eukaryota; Metazoa; Chordata; Aves; Galliformes; Phasianidae
Description: lncRNA (ENSGALG00010029110.1)
Source: RNAcentral
CCGAGGGAAGAUGGGGGUCACCUCCCUGCCGGGGGGGACACCUCACCCCUUCCCUGCCCUCCUUGGGCUGCUGCACCUGCAAGAACCCCUCCUUGUGCUCUGCUGCUCAUGGGGUGCUUAGAGCUGAGCAUCCUCACGGGGGGAUGCCCUACGGGGAGCUCCCAACGUCCCCUCCGCAGCUCCUACACCCCCAGGGUCGCCGGGCUGCAGUGGAUGGAUUUCAGCCCAGCUGGCAGUUUGGGAUCGUUAACCAUGAAGGUGCCCCUGGGAAGAAGCGAAAAAGGUAUUUGGGAAAAUUUGCUAACAGACUCUAAUGACUUAAUAAUCCCUGCCGGAGAGAGCGCGGCAGGUUAUGUGAAUGUCAAGUUUGUUUGCUUUGCCGAGAGCCGGCUGCUGUUAGGUAAUCAGAGGGUGUGACCUCCUUCGUGGGGAAAAGGCAAGGGAAGGAAAGCAUGUGCCUGCUGCCCUGCCGGAGGUGAGCAGCAGAGAUGGGCACAGAGCGGCCCUGGCAGCCCCACUGCUGCGCUGGGGAGAGCAAAGCCCAGGGGCUGCCCUGCUCUGCACGUUGGGAGCAUGCUGUAGGGCUGGGUGGUGGGGGUGGGAUUCAGCAGGGAAAGCAACCAGGAGCUCGAGGGAGGGGUUUUGAGAGCAUGUUUGUGCUGCACUGGUAUGAACUGCCCAGGGAGUGUUGCUGGGUGGGCACAGGGUGGAUGUGUGUGCCCGAGUGAGCUGUUGCACAGCACAAGCCCGUCUUGGCCAAGCCUGCACCUCAGCCUGCCCAGAUGGGGAACACUGUCCCAUUUUGGGGAUGCCAUUGGGAAUCAUAGGAUCACAGAACGGCUUGGGUUGGGAAGGACCUGAAAUAUCUUCCUGCUCCAACCCCCCUGCUGUGGACAGGGGUGCCACACAGCAGAUCAAGUUGCCCAGGGCCCAUCCAACCUGGCUUUGGACACCUCCAGGGAUGGGGCAUCCACAACUCCUCUAGGCAGCAGCAUCGACUGAGCAAAGUGUGGGGUUUGCUGAACGCUGGGACCUUUCCUUGUCGGUAAAGGAAAGUCAGGACAGGACUCUAAGCAUACUUUGCGUUAUCUGCCAUGACCCGUGGCAUCGGGACAGGCUGCCCCACACCCAAUGGGACGAGACAUCUCACUCUAGAAGCCGAAAGCGGGCAGGUGGGGGCUGACACCCCCCCACCGCUGGGUCCAGUGGGAAGGGGAGCGCAUGACUGCAAGCACCGGAGCUCCUGGAGCACAGGUUGCCACCUCGCAGCUGCUCUCAAGCCCCAGCUUGCCUGCCUCGAUGCUGUUUGAACAGGAGCCUUCGCAGACGUAGCUCUAGGCCAAGUUGUGGGGCAGCCGGGAGGGAACCGCCUGGCUCCAGACCCCGCUGCGGGAGGUCCGGGCGCGUGGGCACCGAAAUACCGCGUGCCAACCGCAGCUCUGCCCCGGGGCCACAACACCUGUGGCCACUUUGAACCCCAACCACAGCCCCGAGGUGCCAGCAGGAUAUGUGGGAGCGCCGGGGUUCGGCUUACAGCCGUUUUUAUGGCCGUUCCUUCGAAUUCUGGGGGCAGGUUGCAUUUCCCAGCAGACGCACAUCCUCACUAAUAGCAGCUUGCAGUCCUCCUCGCAAAAAAAACCCCACAACUGCAUUGUGAGGCUGAGUCCUCUGCCAUCUCCCCUUGCUCUGCCUGCUUUCCCAGGGCUGCCACGCUACAGGGCGCUUGGGGAGGAUGGCGAUGUGCGCAGUGCACAGCACCCAGCAUCCUGCAGGGAUGCCCUGGAUGCCAUUGCAGCAGGCAGCUCCAGAGAGCAUGACACACACUGCAAAAAGACUUAAAAAAAAACCAGACAGACACAAAAAAAGAAAAAAGGAAAAGGCUUCUGAGGCUUAGUGUUGGAUAUUUAUACACUUGACAUAAAGGAUAUUUCUGCAUUGAAGUAAUAAGCGUGACUCAGUAAACCAAUGGGGAAAGGGUGUUCCCUUUGCAGCAAAACCUCAAAAGAUCAAAGAACUUCUUGAGCGGUUUAACAUUUUGAAUGUUAGAUGAAUUGGUUUCCCCUCCCUCUCCCCCUCAUGCUUGCCUUAAAGUUUUGGAAAAGAAAAUGGUUGGAUUUUAGCUGGGAAGGGAUCGCUUUGAGAGCUCGGGGGAUGCGUGGUUCUGAAACAGCACAGCCACAGGCCCAGGGGAUGGCAGCCCUGGAUGGGGACGUGGCUUAAUGGAAAGUGGCUUUUCCCUCCCUGUCACCUUCCAGACCUGCUCCCGCUAUGGAUGGAUGCAGGCAGCCCUCACCAGAGGGAUGUCCCAACACACCACGUCCCCACACUGUGCCCACUGCUGGUCUUCAGGCAGAGCUGAGCAUCACCAGCUUCCAGCAGCUCCUUCCUGUGGGAGAAGCAAAUCCUGCUAUUGUUGUUCUUGCGUGAGAUGUAAGGGGACAGCCCUGUCCUCUGCCUGCAGCAAGCAGCGGGGGCUGGCGUGUACUCACCAGGGAAGGACAGAGCUGUGUCAGUGGACACAUGUGCCUUUGUGGGAUCGAUAGGCUGGAGUAAUAUAUCGCACCGAGAUAACAAAUCACUUAGCUUAUUGGGUCUUAAUUAAGCCUCUUUUAUCUCCGUGACAGCCACACACCUGGGCUAUCACCCCGACGAACGGCGGCUGAGCAGAGGGGGACGCAGUGCAGGAGAGCGGGGAUUGAUGAGCUGCACUGGGUGGAAUUGCCUCAUUGUGCUGCAGCACUCAGGGCCAUCCAUCUCCCACUCCCCACACCAGUCCUGGGCCGGGACCCCCCACUGCAGCCCCCUCCUCCUGGCGCCGUGCAGGCAGGGCACGGGGGGUAGGGGACACCCAAUGGCGUUAGCCAGGCGCAGGGCGACGAGCUCAGGGCUCAGGGCUGCCCCGUUAGCCCCCCUGGGUAAUAGAUACAGUUGUUAUAGUCCCUGACAGCGUGAAAUGAAGACCUACAUCACCAUAAUGUAUUGUCAGGCUGUGAGCACACUGCGGCCCCUGAGAUGAAUGAAUGCAAUAUCUCUGCGUGCGAGGGGGAAGGCGGGGACGGGGGCUCUGCUGCGCUGCUGCCCUCUGGGCGCUUUGUGCGGCGACAGAAAAAGGCAUUUUUUAUGGGUGAUGCAGAGGCUGAGGGUGUCCGGUCCCUGCAGAGCUGCUGACAGGUCCAGCCCACGAAGGGCAGCGCGUAACAAAUGACUGAAGCGCUGCCGGGAUGAGUUCAGCCUGCAAUGAAGUCAUCGCGCCCUGCCUUGCUGCCAGCUGGGGCUGCGGGGCAAUUGAUGGCGUUGGGGCAAGAGGGAUCAGUGCAUGGUACAGCUCCUGUGAGCUGAGAGCAAAGGGAACCUUCCAAAGCAGGGAGACUGGGAACGUGCGUUCGUGACAAUGGGAAUCCGAGGCACGUAUCGCAUUAUUGGAAAGUAGGACAGUUCUCACUCUGAAGUACGACUGCUGAUGUAGUGACUUGGAGUGGAAUAAUGAGAGCUGGGAGUUGUGAGUGACUUACAGCCGAGCAGCCAAGUCCUGCAGGACACCUCCGUCUCCUGCUUUAGGAUGAUGCUUAAAUCCUUCCCCACCACGGGCUGUUGCUGGGGCUCAGCCUUUCCUCUCUGCUAACCCCAGGGCAGGCUGGCAGCAGCAAAACUGAUUGGGAGCUGGGGAGAUAUUCCUGAGCACAGGUCUGAGCAUGGCCGCAGGUUUAUUUCAGGCAAAGGUUGCUUAGGAUUUCUCCCUUUCCCUCUGUUUGAGAUGGCAUUGUCCAUACCCAGCCUAUGGCAGUGACCAUACCCAGCCUCUCCUAAUGGCUUUUGAUUCUUGCAUAGUGUUGUGCUGUUCUUGCUGCUGCACGGCAGGUACUGCGUGUAUGCAAACACUCCUUUAAAACAAUAAAAUAAGGGUCUGGGCUGAAAGACAAGCAGCUCGUAAUUCAGCAUUGCAUUAAACAAAGUCCAAAGUACUCACAUUACACAAAAUCCAACCGAAGGGCAACACCCUUCCAGUGAUCCUGCAUUUUCACGACUGUUUGCAGGUUCUAGGAUGAACACGAAGCAGUCGACAUAGGAAUGGCCAAUCCCCAUAAGCUGUCGAUGAGACUUUCCUCUCCAGACCAGCUCAGCUGGACGCAUGGUAUUGUCAAGGUCAUUCCCAACGCGUGAUGGACCUAUUUGCUGAUGCUUGUGACAUUUCCCAUCAGGCAGGACAGGAUUCCCCUCCAUGUCAUAAGGUUUGGGGCUGGACGUGCCCAGCAGCUUCCUUCCCUUUGCCCAAACCCUCAGCUCGAAUCACAGAGUCAUUCUGCUUGGAAAAGCCCUCUCAGAUCCCCGACACCAUGCCCACUGUGCCACCUCUCCAGGUGUUCUGGAACACCUCCAGGGAUGGGGACACCACCACUGCCUGGGCAGCUGUGCCACUGCAGCACUGCUCUUUCAGAGAGGAAUUUUCUCCUAAUCCCCAACCCGAAAUACUUCCCAGCCCCACACCCCUCCCAGCCAGCCACCCCUGGGUGUUCUUAUUGCAGUAAGCACCGCGCGCUGACUUUGGCAUCUCCCUCAAGCACUCGUGCUGCACGCAGCUCUGCUCCUACUCUUGGCCAUUAUUGCUGCUUGGAGGUUUUUCCCUCUGAGGUUGGGUCCUCCCUCGUGCUGCCGCUCACAGCCUGUCCCCAUUGGUGAUAUACGAUGCCCCUGUAAUCUCCAGCGACAUAAAUUUCUCUCCUGUUUGUCUCCCUGUGUCCUAUCCUUCUCGCCCCGUGCCUGUUAUUGUGUCUAGCUUUGCGGCUGCGUUUCAGCGUUUUCCCUUGUUUGUCUCCUUCACCUGAGGAUGUCCAUUAUGGGAUGUAACAGCUUUAAUAGCUUACAAAUGGGAGGCUGGAGAUUUUGUGCUUCAGGGAGCAGCGCUCACAGCAGUCACCACUAACAGCGGCGUUUCCCAUUGCUGUGUAUCUCAGCUGCUUUCUUCCCUCCUUAUUUUAAGUCCAGGGACAAAUGGCUCGUAAAGCCGCCGGUCCAAUUCGUACUGCUGGUAGGUGGAGCUGGGUGAGAGAGUCGUCCCCGUCCCCCUCUAUUCUGACCCACACAUAGAGACGUCCCUCAUUGCUCUGCUCCCACUCUGAGCCCCAAUACCAGCGGCACCCUGGGAUGCAUUGGUGUGUCUGGAGCCAAAUCCCAGCAUCUGGCAGCAGUAGUUGGGCAUCCUCAUCCUCACCUCUCCAAAAGCAAAGCGCCAUGCGACCAGGAUCUAAUUAAGCAGGCUAAUCUGAAGGAGGUACUACAUCUCCAUGGAAAACUGCUUCAGUUUGGCUUCUCCGGAUAAUAAACAAAGCACUUGGGCAGAUGAUAGGGCAUUUAAGUGUUUACUCUUCAGAGCAUUAAGUGCUAAAUUUGUUUUCAGCUCACUUAUGAAGAACCCUCACCGAGCAAAGCACACAAGGGGCUCAGUUGUACCUUCAGCUCCGCUCUGAGCCUCCUGCAAGGAGCCUGGUCCAUGGGCUGCCCAGUGGGAAGCAGCAGCCAUUGGCAGCACAGGGGCUGAAUCUGCACUAUGGGAAUGCUGCUGGGGCAGAGAGGCGCUGGGAUGGAGCAGCAUCUUCCCAACCCCAUGCAGAACGCCGUGGGCUGUGCUGAGCACAUCUGGCCACCGCUGCCACAUAGGGGAGGUUUCAUCCAGGGCCAUAGAAACGGAGCACAAAACCAACAAAACAACUCUGUUUCUAAAGCUCUAUGAAGUUUGCACCCCACCAUGCCGGGACAAAGGGGGAAUUAGCAGCCAGCAAAGAGAAAAGCAACACAAAGCCACACCGCGGUGUCAAGAAGCCAAAAAGCCCUUUUCCUUCCCAGUGUGCGGGUAUGGCUUGAGGGACUGUUCACAACCCCGAGCCCAACGUGGGUCAGCUUUGCAGCUCUUUGCAUCUGCAUGUGCUUGAGCCGAGCUUUCCCUGCUGCUGCGAUUUAUAAACCAGCUCUGACCCAUCAAAACCAACGCAGAAUGACUCAGAAGUUUGCAGACAGCCAUCAAAAAGGGGACGGAGGGGUGCACCCGGAUCUGCCAGCAGCAGCCUCCUUUAAAUCAACCUUUCUCAGGAAGAGUGCUGUGGUUCAGGCCCCAGUUUGGGAUGUGUCUGAGCAUGCUUCCCAUCCACAUCAUGGAUUCAAUUACAACACAACGCUUUGCAGAUUUCUGUUAAAUUUUAACUCGUUUCACAUGGGUUGUAUGAACUUUGCCUGACAUUUGGAAGCAGGCAACUUGUGUCAUCAGGUUACACUCACACUUAUCUCUGCAAACAUAUCCUUGUACCCAAACCAGCACCAGCACAACCGUCUUCGCCGUGGCUGGCAUUAAUUGAACCUGAAAUGUUCUUUCCUCCGGCGUUGUGCUCCCUCCUGCUCACAGAGCCAUGUGUGUGACCCCAUCCCCUGCUCCACAAACGCAGCUGCAGCAAAUGGAGUGGCCACGGAGAUGAGGGCAGCGGGCGAUGCUGAGCCAGCAUCUCGCUGUGGGUUUUCAGAGAAGGGCGAUGCCAUAAAAAAGGGGCAGACUUUGAGAUGGCUCUGCCCAUCCCCAGCCCCUAAGUUGCAGGGAUGAGCCUGCAGUGUGUACUGCUGAUGGCCCAAACCCCAUCUCCUGGGGGAACCUCCUGUCCCCAAAGCUUGGCUGGUGACCUGCCAGGCAGCCAUGCCCUGCUCACCUCCGUUGCAUCGAGCCAUGCAAACCCAUCUCUGGCCAUCUGAUGGCUGAAACUCAGGUGUGAUCAAAGCCCGGCCCCUCUGCUGUGUUGGGGUUCAGCAGGGGAGGGGGAAACAUUAAAAUCCUGACAUCACUCAGUGGCCGGCUCUGCCUUCAGCUGCACGAAGUGGCCGGCUCUGCUGAUCAAAGGCCUCGCCACUGUUGUUUUAAAGGUGACAUUAACAUUUAAGGAGCUUUUGAAAGUCCUGGCUGGCAAUAAAAAGCCAGACACUCAGUCACAGAGCAACUCAAACGCAGGUUUAAUGAUAAUGAAGCAGCCUUUUGUUCUUAAGCUCAAAGAAGGACCACAAACCUAUUUAUAGUGUUUAUAAUAAAGACUGUGAAACCUUUGGCACAUAAUCCAGCAAACCGAUACUUGCAAGCCUCAGUGCUACUCAGUGAUCCCCAGAGUGUGCAGAACAGGCUUUUGAGAACACUUUUCCCCCUUUCCACCACUCUUUGUUCCAAUGAAGGCAUGAUGUGGACGCUUCUGUGUGCUUGCAAGCCCUGGUUUCAUAAAGUGUGUCCCCAUGGCACGGCACAGCAUGGGACAUCAUAGCAUGGCAUGGCAUGGCAUGGCAUGGCAUGGAACUGCAUGACACGGCACAGUAUGGCACAUGACCCAUCCUGCUUCCCAUCGUGGCUGCACAGUGCAGAGUGGGGCAGCAGAGGGGGAAGCCAUGCAGGCAAUGCUGGGCUCAGUGCACCACAAGCAGCCCCAUACCGACACUGGGUUAUAAAUAGCCUGGAAAUGAGAGCUGGGCAGGUCGGAGCCAUGGCUGAGUAAGAGAAUCCCCUGCUCCCCACAUGGCUCCUGGCUGCAUUGUCUCUUACCACGAAGCCCUUUGCUCCACGGCUCCCAGCCCUGUGCUGUGUGUUGCCUUGCAGCCCCAAGGAAAGCGAUUCCACGCGCCUUCCUUAAAGCAUGCAGUUGGAAAUGCCAUGCAAGUUCCCUCACUCCUCCUCACCCUCCUAGAUGUGGCAAUUAGCACUGAGUCCUCAUUCCAUUCAUUGAGUGCUGGGCAGGGUCAGCAGUCCCAGCAGAAGACGGUAGGGAGGGCAAAUAUCCUACAUCUUCUCCAACCCCUGCUGCCCAUGGCAGAGCCAGAGCAUGGAUUCACUGCCUGCCUUUCAUAGUAGCAGCCGGGAUGAACACCUCUGUGCACAGGCAGUGGUGGAGACCCAUCCUUGGAGGUGUCCCAGCACCAUGGAGAUGCGACCCUGAGGGACGUGGUCAGUGGGCAUGGUGGGAUGGGCCGGGCUUGGAGAUGAGAGGGAGCUUUUCCAACCUUCAUCAUCCUGUGAUUUUCCAGAGAUGCUCCCAGCCCCAGUUUGGCCACUGCCUCUUUCCCCUGCUCAGCUCACAGCACGGUGGGCGCUACUGGGGAGCUCAAGUGAGGGCUAUGGGGGUCCCUUUGUUUCCUAAGGGCACAAGUGGCCAAAGGAGUCAGUGAUGGGAAUGCACGGGGUGGGGGAGGCAGGCGACGGGAGAGCUUGCGGCUGGAUGUGACCCAGACCAGGGAACAGAUGCAACUCAUAACGUUAAUGAGGUUUUUUUUUCUUCCUCCCCAAAGGCGCUGCACUCCUGAGAACCGGGGGCUCUCUAUCCCAUGGCAACACCAAGCGGGGGAAAAAUGGGCCUGGCUUUUAUUUCAUUUUUUUGUCCUUUACAGGAAUCGCAGGCAAACAAAAGCCCUGAACAGAUUUAUCAUUUUUCUUUCUCCCCCACCCCCUCCUUUUCUUUCCUUUUAUAUUUUUUUAAAAUAGGGUUAGAGCAAGAUGGAUGGUUCCCCAGGCCCAUGGAAUGAGCAGAUAGAGGCAGCCCUGUCGACUCUGGCAUCCCAUUAAGCCAAGCUGCGGGAGGAGGCCGCCGUCGGACUUAUUACAUUUGCCCCCACCCGGACCCCAAACAUCAGCCCCAGUGUGGGGUGCCCCCGGCUCGGCUGCCCGUGCCCCACAUUGCCGGGUGCCACCCGCACCUCUACCCUAUCCAUCCCCCACAUCAGCAUGGGAAUCGCCUCUUGCAUCCCUCAGUGUCAGCCCACACCGAUUUGUCACUGAUAGGUGACAAGCACUGUGUGGCUCAGUGUGGCUCCGGGUAAGGGCAGCCGGGGGGGGGGGAGCUCAGACAGCCCCCAACCCACCGCUGACCAGGGCUGCUGUGCCUGGUGAAACAGCAGUGAGGAAGGGGGGAAAAACAAGGCAAAAAUAGAAGGAAAAAUGAUGGGAUGAAAAAAAUGAAACAAACCCCAUCGUGUUCAGGAGCCCAAGAACCACGCAGCCCCAUGGGGGGGUCGGCAGUGGUGACAGGGGCACCCGGCUGCCCCAUCUCCACCGCCCGCUUCCUUCGCACGGAUAUUUCCACUUUAAUACUUAACAAGGAUUUAAAACCCUUCUGCAGCCGGAGUUUGUUGGCAGCGAUAAAUUUUGAAUAGCUUAUAAAUAAUGGAGGCAAGGUGGUGCCUCCGGCUGGGAGAAGGGGUGAGGCCCCACCUGCCAUCAGGAGAGGGUGAGGAGCAGCCCUGGUGCAUACCGCUCGGUGACGAUGGCAUCACAGUGCACAGCCCAGCAUGGCCAGGCUGCUUCACACCUCCUGAUAGGGAUGAGCCAGCAUGCAAGUAUCAUGGGAUGGAAUUAUGGAUGGACGGAGAAAUGCAUGCAGUCCCUUUCUAUAUAUAUGUGUGCGGAUGCACGUACAGAGAGACAAAUAUAUAGAGCUGUGCACAGCCACAAGCAUGCGUGCUUGCAUGCAUCUCUAUGGGUCAAAUUGCCCACCUCCCCUUGACCUCCCCUCCAUGCCUUGCUCCCAUCGAACCCAUAUCCCACCCCAUGUGCUGCAGAUGCAACAGGCAGCAGCUCCUGCAGGGCACCUCACACACUGCUCCACACUUUGGGGCCAGGAGGGGAUUUGGGAAGAGGGCUGGAAGGGAUGAUUUCAUCCCCAUGAGAACUGGAGAGCGUUUCUGUGCACGGCAGGGGUGGAUGCAAUGUCUGCUCCCUGCUUUUCCCUGGCACUUUGUAGCAAGUCAGUAAUUAGGUUAUAGCACCGCUCUGGCUUAAUUUCUACGCACCAACGUCCAAUAAAUGUGUAUGGAGUUUGUAUGUGUGCCUGUAGUAUAUAAAAGCUAUAGGAAAAUGGCCAGACUUCACUACAUUAAUUCAUAAAGCAGGUCAUUCUUGUCUGGCCCUUUACCUCACUUGUUAUUUCUAUUUAUUAGUAAUAUUGAUGUUUCAACCAGGGAUCAGGACCCCAUUGAGCCAGCUUUAAUAACAGAAAAGAUUUAGCAGGAGAGAGCCCUGUAAUGAACCAAUAAUCACAACAGCGGCGCUCACGUAGUGCAGCUCACAAACAGCAUUGUUAUUUGUACAGUGUUUUAUUUGCUAUUUCACUUUUGCAGCGAGCCCAGCAUCUCCCACUGCACCAGUUUGGCCAUGCCAAGGCUUUGUUGAGGGUGAAAAUGGAAUGAAUGAGUGUUGGCUUCGGAGGGCCAUCAGCGUGGGCUGGUACCCAUGGUAACCGCUUGGGAGCCGUACAAAGCCCAGGACCACAUCUAAACCAACUUCAGCUUCGUCGCCUGCUGAGACAUUGAACACGAGCCAGUCCUCAGCUCUGAGCCAAGAUACACUUAGGGAGGGUUUGUCUGGCAAGAACCUCUGGAACUAUUGAUCCGUGAGAAAAAGUGAUCAAGGGAAGUACAGCUGUCCUGGUUAUUGCCUCACCAUGCUCUCUACCAGCUGCAAAACUUCACCAGCAGAGACAACGAGAGAAGAGCUGCGCAGCAUCCUUCCUUCAUGCAAACUCUGCUCUGUGUCUGAAAGCCCAGCGCAGAGCUGGAGCUGCUGCAGCACCGGGGAUGGUGCACGGUGGGGAGAACCGGGGAGCAAACAUCGUCUGAACAGGGACAAAGGCAUUAUAAAUGAGUGCUGCCGGAUCUCCUGUCAGCCAGGGUGGUGUUACCUCUGCAUUUAUACUUCAGUAAUUUCUGCAUUUCUCUAAUUUCUUAAAUUGCCUGUAAGAUGAUAAUAUUUCCUAGAACAUGGUGAAUAGAUUAACUGCACGCUACGGCGCUAUCCAAAACUGCUUCGAGCAGCAUUAAAACCAGAUGUUCCCAAAGAGCCAAGGGAAAAUGUUACCUGCGCUGCUCACCAGCCAAGGGGCGAACUGCCUGUGCCUUACGUAGCAAUGCUGCUUUUCCUGGGAUCAUGGAAAACCAGCAACACGAGGCAUCUCCACGCCACAGCUCUGGCAACGUGUGCUCCACCACAUGCCCUUGCUUCCCACGCUGCCUGCUGCCAUCCGUGGCUGCGGGGCACAGGGACGGCAUGGCCAGGAGCAGCAGCCUGACCUACUUCAGUGCAGUGCAAUGGCCUCUCUGCCACGCAUCCUCGCACAGACACGAAGCACAGUUUGAGGGCAGCGGACCCGCAUGGGGUGGGAUGCUGUCCCAGCCUCCACCAGCUAGCAUUGCUCCGGCUGCCUCCGAGCGCUCUCACCGCUGCGUAUCAACUCACAGGCUCCAUUAACAAAUCAAAUUGCCACUGAUGUGCUUCUCAUUACAUCUCGGGGCUUACGCGUCGUUAUUUCAUUUAAAAGACGGCAUUUGUUUUCCCUUCCCUGAUUCCACGUCCCCAAAAUCUCAUUAGGAGAUCGCUGCUCAUUAUGAAGUGCUGCUCAGUGUAACGUGCUGGGGGUGCAGGACUCAGCAAAGGGCCCCACAUGGAGGUGGGGGGGGGGGGGGGGAGAGGGUAAUGAAGAGCCAUUGAAUGAGGAGUGCCGAGGCUUAAUUUGGGAGGAGAGGAGCGGACUGUGGAUGCUGACAGCACCGCAAUGCGAAUCCCCCUUGGAGCACCCAAAGAAUCGGCCUAAAUGGAUUAAUGUGAGGACAGAGAAGAAAUGACUUCAGUUGUUUCCCUGAUUCAAUUCCGUUUAUUUUUAUACGGCGUCUUCAUGCAAAGCAUCUCCCAGCUGCUUCAUCCAGAAGAGGGAUAACAGAGGAUCACCGCGCUGGCUCAGCUCUCACCAGUGCUGGCAUUGCAGUGGGAGGGAGGAACACAAGCGCUGGCCUUGAGGAUUUGACGUCCCAAAUCAUCAGGAGAUCAUAUGCCAUUUUUUUCUCUUCUUUUUCCAGUUCCAAUAUUGGUAAUUUCCCUAGGCUUUCCUCAAAGCAUCGCUGCAAUAUACUCGGGCUGAUUCUAAUCUCACGCUGCUUUUAUAGCACUGUAAUUCCGAUCUCACACUGGUUUUAUACUGGUGCAGCCCCACUUAUUUCAACUGAGUAAAUUCCUGAUUUAUGUCAGUGCAAACGACGGCAGAAAUGGGCCCGCAGCUCUCCCUGGAGCAACGCCUGGCUCCCACCAGGGUGAGGAAGAGGAAGAUCAGCUCGUUUGCAAUGCAAAUGGUGUAGAAAACUGCUGCCACAUUACACCCAGACCCUCACUUUGCGAUGCGCUUUUGCUCUCUUCUAUGAAAUGCACUUUGUUGCAUUUUGGAAACCCACAGGAGGUCACUGAGAAGCGACGUGUGGCUCUGCUGGGUGUCCGUGGGGACCGACCCGUUUAUUGCCUUCGCCCUUCUCUCUUCCUCAGCCCCACCACCACUCUGUUGCUGUUUCAAGGACGUUUCGUUGCCUUAAUUUACUCUCUGUGAUGUGAAGGGAUGCAGUGACUUAUCCUGAUACCCAUCCCAGAGGCUGCACCUCAGCAGUGCAGUGUUGGUGUUGGUUAAUAAGCCCCUUGCAGACCAAAGCAAGACUGUGACUGCUGCAUCCACCUGGGCAAGCUGCGUCCUCUCUUGCUUAUGCUAAGGGAGGAAAAAUAGGGGCUGUUGUAACUAAUGGCUGUGGGGUGGAGUGAUUUUCCCCUUCCGUUUGCUCUCAGGAAAGAACAGGACGGAACUGGGAGAGGAAGGCAGGCUGAAAAGGGGGAUGGAUAAGGACCUUGGUUGGUUGUCUCUGCUUGGGUGCUGGUCCCUCACAAUGGGGGGGUCCCUGAGCUCCCACCCAUUGCUGUGCCCUGAGGAGCACUGCUGCAGUGCCAUACCCACCCAUUGUGCACCUAUGUGAUGCUCAGACAGCAAGAAGGUGAGGGUUGCUGGUAUCACCUCUCCUAUGGGGCUGUGCAAACUCAUACUCACUGAUGCCCCUCUGCCAUUGCAAAGUGGGAAACAACCUUGUGCAGCCACUGGACAAAGUCUUCCCUUCACACCCAGCCUGGCAGCACUGAGCCCUGCUCCAUGGAGAGGAGCAAACCCUGAUCCCACAGCCCAGCAGAGCCCCCCCAGCCUAGCAGUCAGACCCACAAGCUGACAUCAGCAGAACGAAGCAUGGCCCCAGCAGUAAUCUGAUAGAACCCAAUGGCAGUUUGGGUUGGGGGGGGGGGGGGAGGGGAGGGGAGGCACUGAAAGAAGAGGCACUGAAAGUACACUUCCUUCAGUGCAUUGCUGGGGAGACCAUUAGGAAAACCACUAGAUUAUUUUUCACAUUCUUCAGCGCAAAACUACUGCGUUUUAUGACCACUAUCAAUAACAGCUAUCAUAUUACUAAUGCUACAGUUGCCACAUAUAUAAUAUUUAAAUCACAUUUGUGGCUGACAGAGACCUAUGGAUAUUCUCGAUCCCAACAGGCUAUUACAGUUCAUAUCGUGUCUGUCAUAUAAAUAUUAUGAAUCAUUUCCCACUAUCUUUAUGGGGGCUACAUUGACAUCGUCGAAAAGGCUCUGGGCUGGAUACUGGCUGCAUAUUUAUACACACCUUAUGUAUAUGUAUGUGAAUGGAGGGAGAUUUAUUCAACAAUCACCAGUAAUAAAUGCCUAUGAUAAACCAUAUUAUCUUCACACUUCAUUUGCAAAGUGUUUUGUAUGCAAGGACUGGGGGGAAGGCCCUGUCAGUGGCACAUCCUCAAGCUCUGGUGUGAGGCUUUGUGGUGAGGUUGCUCACAGCUGGCACAGCCCUAUCGCAGCCCCAGGUGAAGCAGGGAG